This 31-nucleotide non-coding RNA is filed under the name Rattus norvegicus (Norway rat). The record is from RNAcentral. Lineage: Eukaryota; Metazoa; Chordata; Mammalia; Rodentia; Muridae.
UGGCAAUAAUAAUAAUAACCAAUGAAACAGA